CCUACGGGAGACAGCAGUGAGGAAUAUUGGUCAAUGGCCGCGAGCCUGAACCAGCCAAGUAGCGUGAAGGAUGACUGCCCUACGGGUUGUAAACUUCUUUUGUCAAGGAAUAAACUGAGGCACGUGUGCCUGUUUGUAUGUACUUUAUGAAUAAGCAUCGGCUAACUCCGUGCCAGCAGCCGCGGUAAUACGGAGGAUCCGAGCGUUAUCCGGAUUUAUUGGGUUUAAAGGGAGCGUAGAUGGGUUGUUAAGUCAGUUGUGAAAGGUUGCGGCUCAACCGUAGAAUUGCAAUUGAAACUGGCAGCCUUGAGUACAGGUGAGGUAGGCGGAAUUCGUGGUGUAGCGGUGAAAUGCUUAGAUAUCGCGCAGAACUCCGAUUGCGAAGGCAGCUUACUAAACGGCAACUGACAUUGAUGCACGAAAGUGUGGGUAUCAAACAGGAUUAGAUACCCUGGUAGUC
This 460-nucleotide ribosomal RNA is filed under the name uncultured bacterium. RNAcentral describes it as "partial 16S ribosomal RNA". It matches the Rfam family "Bacterial small subunit ribosomal RNA", at positions 338 to 795 of the family's 1533-position model. The record is from RNAcentral.